UGGUGAAUACGUUCCCGGACCUUGUACACACCGCCCGUCAAGCCAUGGAAGCUGGGUGUACCUAAAGUCGAUAACCGUAAGGAGUCGCCUAGGGUAAAACUAGUAACUGGGGCU
Molecule: ribosomal RNA, 114 nt
Filed under: uncultured bacterium
Lineage: Bacteria
Description: partial 16S ribosomal RNA
Rfam family: Bacterial small subunit ribosomal RNA
Source: RNAcentral